CUUGUGACAUUUGUUGUUUAUAGAUUUUCCGCACACAGCAGAUGUCUAGACCCUGGACAGAUAACAGAUGGUAUGGCCUCUGAGGACCCCUAAAACCAACUGGAUGAGGCUAUUAAAAAGGCAGAACGCUGAGGAGCUCAACCAAGAGAAGGACCCACAAGCCUAAAUGGACGAGGCCAUUAAUGAGGCAAAAAGGCUGGCUGAGGAGCUCAACCCAGAACCGCUCCAAGGGCAUAUCAAGAGCCAGACUAGUGCAACCUUCUGGGCCAGUCACCGAGGAGGAAGAAUCAGAGACGAGGACCAGUGGAUUGGAAUCCACUCCAGUUUUAAACAUUGAUGAAGAAAUAGAUUGUUUCUUACCAUUGGACGUACCAGAGGUGAUAUGUGGUUGCCUGACAAGCACCAUCCAUGUUGGCCCUGGGAAACAUAUAAUCCUCGUAGGAAUAAAUGAUAUGUGCAAUAUCGACAAGAACCAAAUAGUGAUGUAGCAAUGCAAUGUAAAACAACAUUAAUUCAGACUACAUUUUUUUCCUCUAGGUUGCUACAAUGUCACAGUGCCUGUGCUGACCUGGACAGGAAACUUGGCAGAUCCUGAUAAAGAAUGGGUACUGGCCUGCCACUGUCAACUGUGACACCAUAUACCAGAUAGAUCUGUUCAGCUCUUUUGAGGAGCUGAAAGUGUCAGCUCCAGGAAUGUCCCGUCUGUCGUUUAUGUGGAUUUGKCAGGAACGGAAUGAUCUGUGGGGACACUUUUCAAAAAAGCUUCUUUGAGUGGACGUACUGCCGCUCUGAAAUUGAUCAGGUCUGUGAUAUACAGUAMUUUGACUGCCCAGCCUGU
This is a non-coding RNA of Salvelinus sp. IW2-2015, 838 nucleotides long. The record is from RefSeq and is a predicted model, not a curated record. NCBI's taxonomy places the organism in Eukaryota, Metazoa, Chordata, Actinopteri, Salmoniformes, Salmonidae.